AAGGUUUUAAGUUAAUAAAACUAAUAGCCUUCAAAGCUGAAAAUAAAUUACCAAAUUUAAACCUUA
RNAcentral lists this transfer RNA (66 nucleotides) under Phyllomimus detersus. RNAcentral describes it as "tRNA-Trp". The record is from RNAcentral. RNAcentral also lists the same sequence under 1 other name. Lineage: Eukaryota; Metazoa; Arthropoda; Insecta; Orthoptera; Tettigoniidae.